CAACCCGGAACAGAUUUCAGCCAGGCAGCUAGCAAAGCUCGCGGGUGAACUGCACAGGCCAUGGUGGGUGCAGAGCUCAGAGCCGGAAAGCAAACAGCUGCUGUAGCCUGAUUUGAGUUAAAAUAGUGACAUCCAUAAAAAUUCAUCAGAGAGCAUUUUACUACUGAGCUGCAAAGGGAAAAACUUAAAAUGGAUAUGAAAAGUGAAGAAAGUGAUCAUAGGAGAAAACCAUUUCAGGUGUCUGAUGAUUUGUGAGCCUCAAGUGACUACUCUGUGGAAUCAUCUGUCCUUGCCUUUGAAUUAGCUUUCCCUAGGCCAUGAGUCAACAUUAGUAGUUUAUACAUCCAAAUUGAUGACAAGAGCACCUCAAAGGCAGCAGCCUCAAGGAGCAGCCAUGGCCCCAGACUUGUCGCACGGAUGCAGAAAACUUAAUGGAGGAGGCUGAGCAAAACAGAGCGUGACACUCCCAAUCAUCUGCAUGCUGGAAAUGAGGAAAUGGUUAUUGAAUGAUACAAGUGCUUUUCGAUCAUUUAGAAAGUUCUGUUUCCCAAGAUCUUUUUUUUUUUUUUUUUUUUUGAGACGGUGUCUUGCUCUGUCACCCAGGCUGGAGUGCAGUGGCGCGAUCUCGGCUCACCACAACCUCCACCUCCUGGGUUCAAGCGAUUCUCCUGCCUCAGCCUCCCGCGUGGCUGAGACUACAGGCAUGUGCCACCAUGCCCGGCUAAUUUUUGUAUUUUUAGUAGAGACAGGGUUUCACUAUGUUGGCGGGCGGAUCACCCAAGAAUGGGAUAACUGCCUGGCACUCACCAAGCUACACUUGAAGAGGAUCAAUCCAUGUCAUCAUGUCCCCAAUUUCAUAGCACCAAGUAUUUUGUUUAUUCACAAAUGCCCUAUUAUGGACAUCUAGCAAACAAUGAUACAUCAGAAAAGGAGAUGUGCAUAAAUUUUCAUGGAAUAAGGUUGUGGAAAAUGCACUAGAAUCAACAAACAUGGGGACUAAUUCAACUCGGAUAUCAUGUCUUCAGAGAAGUUUCUCCUGCCCUCCUCUCCCUGUAGAAUUAAGUAUUCUUCCACUGUGCCACCCUCUAACUUGUGCUCAUAUCUUCCUCUAUUGUAGUUAUGUGUUCACAUCCCUGUUGUUUUUGUACCGGCUUCUCCCAAAGGGAGACAUUUAGUCUUAUUCUUCUUGGUAACUUUAGCACAGACCUGGCAGAUUGUUGACACUCAACAAAUGUUUAUUGACUCAAAUGCAUUCAGUUGAACAUUGACCUUUGAUCAACUCUGGGAAAAGUCUGCAAAGCUAGUUAGGACAUUCAGAAAUUCAUUUCAUUUCAAUCCUAACUAAAUAAAUUAUUGAAGUCUCA
This 1364-nucleotide long non-coding RNA is filed under the name Homo sapiens (human). RNAcentral's name for it is "mir-99a-let-7c cluster host gene". The record is from RNAcentral. Lineage: Eukaryota; Metazoa; Chordata; Mammalia; Primates; Hominidae.